Molecule: ribosomal RNA, 253 nt
Filed under: uncultured bacterium
Lineage: Bacteria
Description: partial 16S ribosomal RNA
Rfam family: Bacterial small subunit ribosomal RNA
Source: RNAcentral
UACGUAGGGUGCGAGCGUUGCCCGGAUUUAUUGGGCGUAAAGCGCUCGCAGGUGGUCCGAUGCGUCGUGCGUGAAAGACCCCGGCUCAACUGGGGGGCGUCGUGCGAUACGGUCGGACUGGAGGCCAGUAGGGGGAUGCGGAAUUCCGGGUGUAGUGGUGGAAUGCGUAGAGAUCCGGAGGAACACCAGCGGCGAAGGCGGCAUCCUGGACUGGUCCUGACACUCAUGAGCGAAAGCGUGGGGAGCGAUCCGG